AAGGCAUGUGCAUCGAGGAAGAGAGCGGGUUUUCAUCGGACUUGGCUACUAUAGCCGAGCGCUUCGCUUCUUCCUCUACCUAUCCAACAAUAAUUCAAUUCAAUCCAAAUGCAAAUGGGUUGUACGUUGUUGGGUGCUAAUCACUCUCUCAAUCCAAAACCCAGUCAAGUCUGCCUCUCUCUCUCUCUCAAACGACCUCCGCGUGCAUCUCCAAUACUGCUCCUCUCUCUCAAUCAAAACUUUCUCUUCUUUUUAGUCUGGGUUGUUACAAAAUCCGACAACAUUAGAAUUACGUAUACGUGGUGCCUGAGUUCUCCGACGACGAUAAUCAAAUAACUGUCUGGUUCUUUUCUCAAACAAUCCCCACCCACUUUUUUUCAUCCUGCAAACUACAACACUCUGCACGAGGAUGGUAGUUUUAGGUUAAUCUAGAACUUUGAUUGCAUGGACUUCUUGGACUUCUUAUAAUAAGUUUCAAGUUAUUCAGUAGCAAGCAGCUUUGGAGGACAGUAAAAAUAAGGUCAACUUACGUUUUAUAGCCUUGGAGGCUUGGAUUGGAGCAUUAGAAUUUGAGAUUGUUGAUAAAGCUUUUCUAAAGCAGCUCAAACUGUUCCAAAGUUAAUUUUUUCAACUUAGCUUUCAUUUUGUUAUUAA
Molecule: long non-coding RNA, 654 nt
Organism: Rosa chinensis
Lineage: Eukaryota; Viridiplantae; Streptophyta; Magnoliopsida; Rosales; Rosaceae
Exons: 3
Source: RefSeq, a predicted model, not a curated record